AUUGAACGCUGGCGGCAGGCCUAACACAUGCAAGUCGAGCGGAGCGGCGGACGGGUGAGUAAUGCCUAGGAAUCUGCAUGGUAGUGGGGGAUAAGGUUAGGAAACGGGCGCUAAUACUGCAUCCUCUCAGAAGAGGCUAGGUCGGAUUAGCUAGUGGGUGGGGUAAAGGCAAACCAAGGCGAAGAUCCGUAACUGGUCUGAGAGGAUGAGCAGUCACACUGGAACUGAGACACGGUCCAGACUCCUACGGGAGGCAGCAGUGGGGAAUAUUGGACAAUGGGCGAAAGCCUGAUCCAGCCAUGCCGCGUGUGUGAAGAAGGCCUUCGGAUUGUAAAGCACUUUAAGUUGAGAGGCGUUACCAGCAGAAUAAGCACCGGCUAACUUCGUGCCAGCCGCCGCGGUAAUUC
Molecule: ribosomal RNA, 407 nt
Filed under: uncultured bacterium
Lineage: Bacteria
Description: partial 16S ribosomal RNA
Rfam family: Bacterial small subunit ribosomal RNA
Source: RNAcentral